Molecule: ribosomal RNA, 297 nt
Filed under: uncultured eukaryote
Lineage: Eukaryota
Description: partial 18S ribosomal RNA
Rfam family: Eukaryotic small subunit ribosomal RNA
Source: RNAcentral
CCCUUAGACGCUCUAGGCGGCACGCGCGCUACAAUGGGUGGUAGAACGUGUAACUGCUCCCGAAAGGGAGGGUGAACCACGAAUACUUACCCGUGAAUGGGAUAGUUUGUUGCAAUUUUCGGACUUGAACUAGGGAUCCCUUGUAAGAAUGCUCAAGAAUAGCGUGCUGAAUACGUCCCUGCCGUUUGUACACACCGCCCGUCGUUUCUUCCGACUGAUACUCAUUGUGAGUUGCAAGGAUUCUUAUUGAAAAAUUGCUGCGAAUGCUUUGUAUUGGAGGAAGAAAAAGUCGUAACA